UAUAGGAGGUCCAGGCUGCCCAGUGACUACAAGUUCAACGGCCGCGGUAUUUUGACCGUGCAAAGGUAGCGCAAUCACUUGUCUCUUAAAUAGAGACCUGUAUGAAUGGCUAAACGAGCCCUUAACUGUCUCCCCCCUCCAGUCAGUGAAAUUGAUCUACCCGUGCAGAAGCGGGUGUAAUAAUACAAGACGAGAAGACCCUUUGGAGCUUAAGGUACAAAAAUCAGCCACGUCAAGCAACUUAAUAAAAAGCAAAAACUUUGUGGAUAAUGACAUUUUUACCUUCGGUUGGGGCGACCACGGAGGAAAAAAGAGCCUCCAGGUGGACUGGGAAAACAUCCUAAAGCCAAGAGAGACAUCUCUAGGCCACAGAACAUCUGACCAAUCAUGAUCCGGCUGAUAAAGCCGAUCAACGAACCAAGUUACCCUAGGGAUAACAGCGCAAUCCUCUCCCAGAGUCCAUAUCGACGAGGGGGUUUACGACCUCGAUGUUGGAUCAGGACAUCCGAAUGGUGCAGCC
Molecule: ribosomal RNA, 520 nt
Filed under: Oxygymnocypris stewartii
Lineage: Eukaryota; Metazoa; Chordata; Actinopteri; Cypriniformes; Cyprinidae
Description: partial 16S ribosomal RNA
Rfam family: Bacterial large subunit ribosomal RNA
Source: RNAcentral